This is a long non-coding RNA of Pipistrellus kuhlii (Kuhl's pipistrelle), 650 nucleotides long. RefSeq lists it as uncharacterized. The record is from RefSeq and is a predicted model, not a curated record. NCBI's taxonomy places the organism in Eukaryota, Metazoa, Chordata, Mammalia, Chiroptera, Vespertilionidae. The transcript is spliced from 3 exons.
AAGGGCAUGAGAUGGUGGUUUAAGGAAACCAAUGUUAAUGUUGUUAAUGGAGACUCCUAAAACCUGCAUUUGAGGGCCACCUGUGGUUCUGAUGCUCUCAGGCAUGCAGUGGACUAAUGUGGUGAGUGGGGAUGGGAGUGGGUAGAGGAGAUGGCAACUUGCCACUAUUUUACAACACUGAGUAAAAAACUGUGAAGAAAUCAUGAAGUCAUUGGCCUUUACAUGAUGGGACAGGAGUCUGAGAUUUGUAUGAGAUUUUUAUUAGAAUGAAUCAUGUGAUGAUCCAUGACAUUAGAAAGAAGUCCAACUUUAUAGACAAGAAAUUUCAAUUACUGAAUCAGCAAAGAUGAAUAAAAAUGAGCUGAGGGCCAGGAGAUGACAAUAACCACCUGGGAGGCCACCUGAUGGUUACCCUGGAUGCCCAAUGGUAAAGAGCUGUUCUUGGGUUAUUUUGUAAGUGACAGAUCAACUUUUAUUAUAUUUCUUCCAAUAUACAAAUGUUGGCUGUAUUUGUACAGCAGAUGAAGUUACUGUAAUAAUUCAGAUUCUGAAGUCAUUAUGUAUCUUUUCUAAAAUAUUCUUACAAAAUUCUUGCAAAAUGCCUAGGAGAACUCACCUGGAUUUUGCUUUCUUAGUUAUUUACUGUUGCU